RNAcentral lists this ribosomal RNA (506 nucleotides) under uncultured bacterium. Its description in RNAcentral is "partial 16S ribosomal RNA". It matches the Rfam family "Bacterial small subunit ribosomal RNA", at positions 29 to 523 of the family's 1533-position model. The record is from RNAcentral.
AGUGAACGCUGGCGGUAGGCCUAACACAUGCAAGUCGAACGGCAGCACAGGAGAGCUUGCUCUCUGGGUGGCGAGUGGCGGACGGGUGAGGAAUACAUCGGAAUCUACUCUGUCGUGGGGGAUAACGUAGGGAAACCUACGCUAAUACCGCAUACGACCUACGGGUGAAAGCAGGGGACCUUCGGGCCUUGCGCGAUUGAAUGAGCCGAUGUCGGAUUAGCUAGUUGGCGGGGUAAAGGCCCACCAAGGCGACGAUCCGUAGCUGGUCUGAGAGGAUGAUCAGCCACACUGGAACUGAGACACGGUCCAGACUCCUACGGGAGGCAGCAGUGGGGAAUAUUGGACAAUGGGCGCAAGCCUGAUCCAGCCAUACCGCGUGGGUGAAGAAGGCCUUCGGGUUGUAAAGCCCUUUUGUUGGGAAAGAAAUCCAGCUGGCUAAUACCCGGUUGGGAUGGCGGUACCCAAAGAAUAAGCACCGGCUAACUUCGUGCCAGCAGCCGCGGUAA